AAUAUUGCACAAUGAGCGCAAGCAUGAUGCAGCCAUGCCUCGAGUAUGAAGAAGGCCUUCGGGAUGUAAAGUACUUUCAGCAGUGAGGAAGGUAGUGUAGUUAAUAGCUGCAUCAUUUGACGUUAGCUGCAGAAUAAGCACCGGCUAACUCCGUGCCAGCAGCCGCGGUAAUACGGAGGGUGCGAGCGUUAAUCGGAAUUACUGGGCGUAAAGCGCAUGCAGGUGGUUUGUUAAGUCAGAUGUGAAAGCCCGGGGCUCAACCUCGGAAUUGCAUUUGAAACUGGCAGACUAGAGUACUGUAGAGGGGGGUAGAAUUUCAGGUGUAGCGGUGAAAUGCGUAGAGAUCUGAAGGAAUACCGGUGGCGAAGGCGGCCCCCUGGACAGAUACUGACACUCAGAUGCGAAAGCGUGGGGAGCAAACA
RNAcentral lists this ribosomal RNA (422 nucleotides) under uncultured bacterium. RNAcentral describes it as "partial 16S ribosomal RNA". It matches the Rfam family "Bacterial small subunit ribosomal RNA", at positions 360 to 774 of the family's 1533-position model. The record is from RNAcentral.